UCCCCCCCACACACCCCCUCCCCACAAACAUCCACAGACACAAACCUCAGUCUAAGUCAAAACCUUACAAGUGCAGCGACCCCUGCACUAUUUUAAACAAACCUGUAGAGAGGUUAUCAGAGGACAUGUCCACUGACCCCCCCACCCUCACCCCCCGGCCCCCUCCCUUGGACAGACGAGCCGGCGUUUGUCUGACGGUCGUCAGAGCGGUCCCUGAUGUGGACACUGGAGGUGAUGAUGAAGUCAAUCAGCUGUUUGGACGACCGUCUGAGUGGACCUCAGAGUGGUCCUCAGAGUGGUCCUCAGAGUGGUCCUCAGAGUGGUCCUCAGAGUGGACCAUCAGACUGAACAGAGGAGCAGGUUCUAAUCAGCUGUAAAGACAAGAACAAACAAAGGUUCAAAGGUCAGCUGUGGUCUAAGAACAAACACUGAGUUUAACUCUUUCAUCAACCUAGACCUAGACCAGCGUCCCCAAAUGUGGCCGCUGACGGGCUAACACCGCAGGCUAACACCGCAGGCUAACAUCGCAGGCUAACACUGCAGGCUAACAUCGCAGGCUAACAUCGCAGGUUCUAUCAGUGGAACGUGGACGAAGACUAACUGACGACAGACUGUCUGGUCUGCGUGAGGGCAGACGUGGUCACGUGGUCAGAGACGGCGCUCCUGUUUGUUGUGGAUAAAUACGUGGUGAUGUUCAACGCCGUGGACGAUCAGAUUUUCUUGGUACUGUGUUCAUUCACCUGUGACUGGGCCGCGGAACACGCCGGAAUGAGCUAACGUCCUUCUUCAAACCCUGCAGGGAACACAGCAGCUGUAAUCCCUCAUUACCAGGGCUAUGUUGGUGGAAACGUCUGAGACAUACUUGGAAAAAAGAAAAAAAAGAAAACUCCACACAGAGCACUGGGAUAAACAGCCCUGCAGGUCGGUCCAGGGACUGCAGGACAUGUCGUAGUUACACCACUGGACAGGAGGACGACGGGAUCUAAGGUGGGAGUUUUUCUAAAUGUAUUUAUUUGUAUUUUUUUUUUCUGAAACAACAGGACUCUGAGGUCACCUCAUGUCCAGGACGACGGCUGCUGAGGUCAACAUGUUUUAUCACCACACAACCAACAACAACCAGUUUGUUUCAUAAACAUCAGCUGUGGGGAAAUUUGAUACAGCAUAAAAAAAAAACAACCAGAGUCAGUGAGAAGGACAAGGUUAGAAAAAAGCUU
Cynoglossus semilaevis (tongue sole) is the source of this 1214-nucleotide long non-coding RNA. RefSeq lists it as uncharacterized. The record is from RefSeq and is a predicted model, not a curated record. The transcript has 3 exons. NCBI's taxonomy places the organism in Eukaryota, Metazoa, Chordata, Actinopteri, Pleuronectiformes, Cynoglossidae.